UACGUAGGCCUCAAGCGUUAUCCGGAUUUAUUGGGCGUAAAGCGUGUGUAGGGGGUUCCGUGCGUCCCUGGUUAAAGCCCACCGCCUACCGGUGGAGGUGCCGGGGAUACGACGGGACUGGAGGACGUUAGAGGUGCAUGGAAUGUACGGUGUAGGGGUGAAAUCCGUUGAUAUCGUACAGAACACCAAAGGCGAAGGCAGUGCACUGGGACGUUCCUGACCCUGAGACACGAAAGCGUGGGGAGCAAAAAGG
RNAcentral lists this ribosomal RNA (253 nucleotides) under uncultured bacterium. RNAcentral's name for it is "partial 16S ribosomal RNA". It matches the Rfam family "Bacterial small subunit ribosomal RNA", at positions 524 to 776 of the family's 1533-position model. The record is from RNAcentral.